This 68-nucleotide transfer RNA is filed under the name Marmota monax (woodchuck). Its description in RNAcentral is "tRNA.Thr". The record is from RNAcentral. Lineage: Eukaryota; Metazoa; Chordata; Mammalia; Rodentia; Sciuridae.
GGAUUGUGGCUCAGUGGUAGAGUGCUCACCUAGUGCGUGCGAGGCCCGGGGUUCGAUCCUCUGCACCA